UGAGGUGAGGCUGCCGAGCGCAUGGCGGGCACGGCGCUGAAGAGGCCGAUGGCCGAGUACAAACAAUUAACACUGAACCCUCCAGAAGGAAUUGUGGCAGGCCCCAUGAAUGAAGAGAACUUUUUUGAAUGGGAGGCAUUGAUUAUGGGCCCUGAAGACACCUGUUUUGAGUUUGGUGUUUUUCCUGCCAUCCUGAGCAGGAAAAACUGGAUUACUCACUGAGUCCUCCAAAGAUGCGCUUCACCUGUGAGAUGUCUCGCCCCAACAUCUACCCCGAUGGCAGAGUCUGCAUCUCCAUCCUCCAUGCGUCAGGCGACGACCCCAUGAAAGCAGUGCAGUAUGAAAGCAGUGCCGAGAGGUGGAGCCCUGUGCAGAGCGUGGAGAAGAUCCUGCUGUCCGUCCUUAGCAUGUUAGCAGAGCCCAAUGAUGAGAGUGGCGCCAAUGGAGAUGCUUCUAAAAUGUGGCAGGAUGACCGUGAGCAGUUCUACAAGAUUGCCAAGCAGAUUGUACAGAAGUCCCUGGGGCUGUGAGGCUGUGCCUCCUUCCCCUCAGCACAUGGGCACUC
RNA transcript from Octodon degus (degu), 565 nucleotides. It is a transcript of the gene named ubiquitin-conjugating enzyme E2 G2 pseudogene, with no coding region annotated. The transcript has a single exon. The record is from RefSeq and is a predicted model, not a curated record. Lineage: Eukaryota; Metazoa; Chordata; Mammalia; Rodentia; Octodontidae.